Molecule: ribosomal RNA, 471 nt
Filed under: Salmonella enterica
Lineage: Bacteria; Pseudomonadati; Pseudomonadota; Gammaproteobacteria; Enterobacterales; Enterobacteriaceae
Description: bacterial SSU rRNA
Rfam family: Bacterial small subunit ribosomal RNA
Source: RNAcentral
UAAUUGAAGAGUUUGAUCAUGGCUCAGAUUGAACGCUGGCGGCAGGCCUAACACAUGCAAGUCGAACGGUAACAGGAAGCAGCUUGCUGCUUUGCUGACGAGUGGCGGACGGGUGAGUAAUGUCUGGGAAACUGCCUGAUGGAGGGGGAUAACUACUGGAAACGGUGGCUAAUACCGCAUAACGUCGCAAGACCAAAGAGGGGGACCUUCGGGCCUCUUGCCAUCAGAUGUGCCCAGAUGGGAUUAGCUUGUUGGUGAGGUAACGGCUCACCAAGGCGACGAUCCCUAGCUGGUCUGAGAGGAUGACCAGCCACACUGGAACUGAGACACGGUCCAGACUCCUACGGGAGGCAGCAGUGGGGAAUAUUGCACAAUGGGCGCAAGCCUGAUGCAGCCAUGCCGCGUGUAUGAAGAAGGCCUUCGGGUUGUAAAGUACUUUCAGCGGGGAGGAAGGUGUUGCGGUUAAUAACC